Molecule: ribosomal RNA, 256 nt
Filed under: Glaesserella parasuis
Lineage: Bacteria; Pseudomonadati; Pseudomonadota; Gammaproteobacteria; Pasteurellales; Pasteurellaceae
Description: partial 23S ribosomal RNA
Rfam family: Bacterial large subunit ribosomal RNA
Source: RNAcentral
ACGUACAAGCAGUGGGAGCCCGAAAGGGUGACUGCGUACCUUUUGUAUAAUGGGUCAGCGACUUAUAUUUUGUAGCGAGGUUAACUGAAUAAGGGAGCCGAAGGGAAACCGAGUCUUAACUGGGCGGUGAGUUGCAAGGUAUAGACCCGAAACCCGGUGAUCUAGCCAUGGGCAGGUUGAAGGUUGGGUAACACUAACUGGAGGACCGAACCGACUAAUGUUGAAAAAUUAGCGGAUGACUUGUGGCUGGGGGUGA